Molecule: long non-coding RNA, 3829 nt
Organism: Lagenorhynchus albirostris (white-beaked dolphin)
Lineage: Eukaryota; Metazoa; Chordata; Mammalia; Artiodactyla; Delphinidae
Exons: 3
Source: RefSeq, a predicted model, not a curated record
GUGAAGGAGGGAGGCAGGAAGAGAGAAGGAAGCAAGGGGAGCGGCAGGCCGCCGACGGCCUCCCCCCGCCCGGCCCCAGGCCCACCUCAGCAGCGUCUCGAGCGCGCUCUCGUGCUUGUCCAGCGGGCGGCCGAGCGCGGCGCGGCGCAGCUUGCUGAGCUCCUCCGCCGCGCGGCAGUACUGGGCCUGCUCCUCCCCGCCGCUCGGGUACGUCUGCUGGAUGAACUUCACCAGCGGCUUGGCCAGGUCCACCUCCGAGGUCUUCUUCAGCUGCACUGAGACGAACGUCGCCAUGGCGAGCGCCUCGGCCGCCCUUCGGGCCAAAGACCGCGGGACGACGACGAAGGCCGAGGCGCGCGGGGUACCGUACAGGCGGACUGACGGGCUGACAGAGGUCCGCUCGGCCUGCGCUUCGGGUCUGGCCACUUCCGGGAGCUAUGGCGCAGGCGCAGUCGGCGCGCCGCCUCCGGUCACGUGAGGGAGACCGGGCGCCGGCGCUGCUCACCUGGGCCCCCACUCUUCCUGCGCCCAGCCUUACGGCGCCGGCUUUCUCCACAGGCGGAAUUUUCUCAUUCCGCCGUACUUCCUCGGCAGGACAAUUGAAGAAAUUUGAACAUAGAUGGACUGAAUAUGAGAUGAAAAUGUAUUGCCAUGGAAAGGUGGAGAUCAUUAACUGAAAAGAGCAAGUCACAAAACAAUGGAGGUCAGCAGAAGUGAGGAAGAUGGUUAUACAACCAGGCACCUACGACAAUGAUGACACAAUUGAUCACUACAGGUUUCCACACUAAGGAGAGACAGAAAGAGGAUAUGGCAGGAAGUCUCCAAAGCACCUGGUAGCUUGGGUCUUGGGGUACAGUAAUCAAGGAAAAUGGUCUUUGGAGGACACCAGGGACAUCACAGUAAGAGAUAAUGCUUGAAAAUAUACAACAACCAGCAUAUCAUUUCUUCCUUAUGAAUGUCUUUCUAGUGGUGAUAUAUGCAUGGUCAGCAUAUUUUCAAGAUUUCAUCAGAAACACCCCCUCUUCCUUUUUACUACCAUAUACUCAUUUGCAGGAAGCUGAGGGGACCCACCCCAAAUCUCAGACCUGCGGAGAUAACAGUUAUUUCAAAGAGCAUCUCAAACUAAAGCCAGUCAGCCUGUGGAGGUACCAGAAAUGAAAUGAUCAAUUUCCCAAAAGCCUCCAUCUUGGGAAUGAUGCUGAUAGCUCUCAUCCAUCCACAAAUGGUGCUUAAUAGAUAUUUUUGGAUGAAUAAAUAGAAGAACGAAUGAAAGUUCCCACAUGUGAAUUGAAGUUUUUAAACUAUUUGAUGGGAGACUGAGUCAACUAAAGAUACGUAAUACGGACUUAUUCAGUGCAGCUGCAUAAUGCCACUUCGUUCAGACCCAAGCUUCCUGCUGCUGUGCCCUCACUGUAUGAUGGAGAUGGACACCUUGGGGAAAAGCACCAAGUUCCUCUGGAAAGCUGAAGAGGCUGGCACGACGCUCUUUCUUUUGAAUUCUAGCCCCCAAACCACGAAGUUUACUAAUAGAUGUAUACUCACUAUGAAAUGGUGUCUCCUAAAUGAUUUAUUAUCUAUUAACUCCAGUAGCAACAAAGAAUAAUUGCUGAACACCUGAAAGAAAGAGCUAUCUUGCUUGUCUCAACCCCUGCUGGCACACAGCAGACACUCAGCAAACGUUGCUUGAAUGAAUAAACGUUAUGCCAACUGUUUUAUCUGUUCUGCCAGUACAGUCUUCGUAACUAGUUAACCAGAAUUUAAACUGGACUAUAAAGCUCUUAAAUCUUUUGAAAGAGAUAAGUGUUGCUUAUGUGAAAAGGAGACAAAAACAUAAACCAAACUAGACAUGUAGAUUUGAUAAGAAGCUUUAAGAACUUUAAGAAGAAGAAUUGAAUUAGCUAAUGACAAGCCACAUUGUAAUUAUGAAUGCAGUUUAUAACCAAAGACAUUAUAAAGUCAGGACAGAGAAGAAGUGGUUCAACCAGUUACAGGAGCUUUGAAGUAAACCAUUUCGACCUGGCCCCAGGUAAAACUAUGAAACUGGUUUGGUCUGUGUGGUCCCCAAACUUCUCUUUCCUUCAACCCUUUUCCAGGCUAACAAUACCUUCAGGUUUUCUCCACUCUCCCACUAGCUUUUUUUUAACAUUACAAGGAAAGUGCAAUGGUGAUAGGUUGAAAUUAGCUCCAAAAAUACCCCUAAUCCAUGUAUUGCAGUGGCCUCAGGGCAAAUUUCCCAGGCUAUAGACAGUGAAGGCAUCACCGAUGAGUUGAAAUAAAAUCCAGUAUUUUUCCUAGAAGAAAGAGCUGGGAUUUCUGGCCUUUAUUUCCUACUUUUUUUCCAGAAGUGUGCUUGUUGAAAGCCCAGCUCCCUCCUCAAGUAGUGCAGUUAGAACUUGACUUGGAUUGGUUAGGGGAGGCAGUGCAGAGAAGGAUAUCCUCUUUUAAAAUAAAUUUAUUUAUUUUGGUUGUGUUGGGUCUUCACUGUUGCGCACGGGCUUUUCUCUAGUUACGGCGAGCAGGGGCUACUCUUCGUUGUGGUGAGCAGGCUUCUCAUUGAGGUGGCUUCUCUUGUUGUGGAGCACGGGCUCUAGGCACGUGGGCUUCAGUAGUUGUGGCUCACGGGCUCUAGAGCUCAGGCUCAGUAGUUGUGGUGCAUGGGCUUAGUUGCUCCGCGGCAUGUGGGAUCUUCCCAGACCAGGGCUUGAACCCGUGUCCCCUGCACUGGCAGGCGGACUGUUAACCACUGCACCACCAGGGAAGCCCUAGCCUUUUAAAAUGUUCAGUGAUUACAAAAGUUCUGGGGUUCAGAGACUAUUCAAUGUGUAAUCAACAGCUCCUAAAAAAACUUUUACUUAGAUAAGAAGAUAAUUCAAUGCAAACAGAAUUGGGUAUUUCUUUGGGCAAUUUAUUUAGAAUCUUUUGUCCUUUCAUGAUUCAACCUGCCCUUUGUAAAACUAUGAGUCACCAUGAUUCUCAUUCUGACCAAUGUUUUUCUGCUUCACUGCUUGGGGGGAAAUGAGUACUGCAUUUUGAAUUCAGCACAUUUUAUCUACUGUAUCUAGUCUUAACUAUUGAAAGAAAUUGUGAAGACUUGAUAAAUUGCUAUGCUACAGCAUGACACAAGAUAGCCUCCUAAUACUGUGCGUAUGGAUUUGGCCUCUGGAACUGCUGCAGCCAUCUUGUGACCAUGAGGAAAGUGAUAAAAGAAACUUUUGCUGAACCUUGAAUAUAUGCAUUCAGACUUGCUUACUGCAUGACCCUGAGCUUGUAAUAUGGCAAAGAAUCAGAGCAACUGCUUCCGCAGAAGAAGGAACCAGAGCAACUCGUUUUCAGAAAACUAGUCAGUCAGUAGAAAAGCGACCUGAUGGGGAAUUUGUGACUGUACUAUCUAGACUCAACAAACUGACCUGGGGCAUAGCAGUCAGCUGUGCCAAGCUCCACUAUCACCAAUCAACUUUGAACUGGCAAUCAAAGUAGUUGUUGAAACCACGUAAUCAUUAUUCUUUGUGAAACUUGUGACUUCUGCCUUUAUAGGUCCCCUCCUUGCCCUUGAUCAGAGACACCAUCUCAGAAGGCUGUAUUCUCUCUUAUAUACCUAUAAAUGAGUAAAUCCCGAAGACUUCACACUAAAUUUGUCUCCAAAGUAUUCUUUGCAGUUUAACACUUACUCUGCCUCGGAAUCUUUGUUUCUUUUGUUGGCAGGUCAAAGCUGAUACACCAAGAAUGGCAAAGCAGGAAGACAGAAAAAACCUGGUUCCUUGAUGAUAUCUGUAUUUUACUAACUAUGGAGCCUUCCUACCUCUGGACUUUUUGUUUUGUGAUAAAAUAA